UGCUACAGGGACUUUAUGAAUGGCAUGUGGGUGUGGGCUUAGCAGCAGACCCCGGGCAGGAGAAGGACCUACUGGGCUCCAGACCUCAGACCUACAGAAGCCAUUGGGCAAAUCCCUCAUGUGCUCUGACUCACCUGAACAAUGCCUGGAACACCUGCUCUCUUCCUGCAUCCAUGGCACCCUCCUGCUGGCAAUGCCAAGGUAGAUGUCAUAGCACCUGGGAGGAGCCUUAGAGGUCAUCUGACUCAACUUUCCAUCCCAAGAAGGGCUCUUUGAACUUGACUUUCAUGUCUUGCUUCUUGGAC
RNAcentral lists this long non-coding RNA (305 nucleotides) under Ictidomys tridecemlineatus (thirteen-lined ground squirrel). RNAcentral describes it as "lncRNA (ENSSTOG00000031118.1)". The record is from RNAcentral. Lineage: Eukaryota; Metazoa; Chordata; Mammalia; Rodentia; Sciuridae.